UCAUACCUAAAACUGCCAGGGUAGUAAAAGACAUUCUUCAAACCCAAAGAAUUUGGCGGCACUUCAUUCUCUUCAGAGGAACCUGCCCCUUUAUCGACAAUCCACGCUUAAUCUUACCUUUUCUCACAGUUUGUAUACCGCCGUUGCCAGAUAAUUUUCUCAAAAUAUUAUCAAACCCAAUAAUUUUAAAGACUUCAGGUCAAGGUGCAGCCUAUGGAAAGGUGGAGGUGGGUUACAAUAAUUUUCAAUUAUACGGAUAGUCCUAUGCAAAAGGACUUGAAGGUGGAUUUGAUAGUAAAUCCCUCUUAGCAAAAGGGAUUGAAAUGAGCUCUGAAAUGUGC
Molecule: ribosomal RNA, 341 nt
Filed under: Ozestheria lutraria
Lineage: Eukaryota; Metazoa; Arthropoda; Branchiopoda; Diplostraca; Cyzicidae
Description: partial 12S ribosomal RNA
Source: RNAcentral